GACGAACGCUGGCGGCGUGCUUAACACAUGCAAGUCGAACGGAAAGGCCCUGCUUUUGUGGGGUGCUCGAGUGGCAAACGGGUGAGUAACACGUGAGUAACCUGCCCUUGACUUUGGGAUAACUUCAGGAAACUGGGGCUAAUACCGGAUAGGAGCUCCUGCUGCAUGGUGGGGGUUGGAAAGUUUCGGCGGUUGGGGAUGGACUCGCGGCUUAUCAGCUUGUUGGUGGGGUAGUGGCUUACCAAGGCUUUGACGGGUAGCCGGCCUGAGAGGGUGACCGGCCACAUUGGGACUGAGAUACGGCCCAGACUCCUACGGGAGGCAGCAGUGGGGAAUAUUGCACAAUGGGCGGAAGCCUGAUGCAGCAAAGCCGCGUGCGGGAUGACGGCCUUCGGGUUGUAAACCGCUUUCGCCUGUGACGAAGCGUGAGUGACGGUAAUGGGUAAAGAAGCACCGGCUAACUACGUG
This 468-nucleotide ribosomal RNA is filed under the name uncultured bacterium. RNAcentral describes it as "partial 16S ribosomal RNA". It matches the Rfam family "Bacterial small subunit ribosomal RNA", at positions 28 to 507 of the family's 1533-position model. The record is from RNAcentral.